CACCCGCGGUAAUACAGAGGGUGCAAGCGUUAAUCUCAAUUACUGGGCGUAAAGCGCACGCAGGCGGUCUGUCAAGUCGGAUGUGAAAUCCCCGGGCUCAACCUGGGAACUGCAUUCGAAACUGGCAGGCUAGAGUCUUGUAGAGGGGGGUAGAAUUCCAGGUGUAGCGGUGAAAUGCGUAGAGAUCUGGAGGAAUACCGGUGGCGAAGGCGGCCCCCUGGACAAAGACUGACGCUCAGGUGCGAAAGCGUGGGGAGCAAACAGGAUUAGAUACCCUGGUAGUCCACGCCGUAAACGAUGUCGACUUGGAGGUUGUUCCCUUGAGGAGUGGCUUCCGGAGCUAACGCGUUAAGUCGACCGCCUGGGGAGUACGGCCGCAAGGUUAAAACUCAAAUGAAUUGACGGGGGCCCGCACAAGCGGUGGAGCAUGUGGUUUAAUUCGAUGCAACGCGAAGAACCUUACCUACUCUUGACAUCCAGAGAACUUAGCAGAGAUGCUUUGGUGCCUUCGGGA
RNAcentral lists this ribosomal RNA (514 nucleotides) under bacterium. Its description in RNAcentral is "bacterial SSU rRNA". It matches the Rfam family "Bacterial small subunit ribosomal RNA", at positions 512 to 1025 of the family's 1533-position model. The record is from RNAcentral.